Patella vulgata (common limpet) is the source of this 666-nucleotide long non-coding RNA. RefSeq lists it as uncharacterized. NCBI's taxonomy places the organism in Eukaryota, Metazoa, Mollusca, Gastropoda, Patellidae. The transcript is spliced from 4 exons. The record is from RefSeq and is a predicted model, not a curated record.
ACAUGGCAUGCGCAUAGAUACUACACUCGGUGAGCUAUGGCAGUAUAAUGUUUACUGUCAUAUUUUAUUCGCGGUAACAGGAUGUAAUUUAACAAAUUCAUGGUGUAGGACUUAUAAAUAAACAUUAUAUUAAUACAAUAUGACACAGAUGGAUAUCCAGAUAUAAGGAAAGACACCAGGAAGAUAUACACCUAGAAAAUAACCAGAAAGUAAGCAGAGAUUCUUGUUUUCUAAUAAGCCUGUACUAUUCACGUAUAACCAGAAAUGGCGGCCAGUUAUAACAUGAACCAUCAGAGACGAGGAAAAGCAGUCGUUAUAAAUAAUGUAAAUUUUGCUCCAAGGGCGAGAUUACGUCGACGCGACGGUUCCAGACAAGAUUAUGAUUCGAUGAGCAAAUGUAUGAGAGGUCUACGAUUUGAAGUCGAAGCACACGAAGAUAAAGGAAAAGACGAAAUUCUGAAAAUAUUUGAAAAGGUUGCUAAAGAAGAUCACAGCAAUGCUGACUGUUUAUUGGUAUCUUUGAUGUCUCAUGGUGGUGAAGAGGGGAUAUGUGGUAAUGACUACAACAGAUACCAAGGAACUGGUUUACUCACUUUAAAUGAUAUCACAGAACCAUUUAAGGGAGACAGAUGUCCUACCUUAGUUGGGAAACCCAAAAUAUUCAUU